UGACCUCGGAUCAGGUAGGGAUACCCGCUGAACUUAAGCAUAUCAAUAAGCGGAGGAAAAGAAACCAACAGGGAUUGCCCUAGUAACGGCGAGUGAAGCGGCAACAGCUCAAAUUUGAAAGCUAGCCUUCGGGUUCGCAUUGUAAUUUGUAGAGGAUGAUUUGGGGAAGCCGCCUGUCUAAGUUCCUUGGAACAGGACGUCAUAGAGGGUGAGAAUCCCGUAUGUGACAGGAAAUGGCACCCUAUGUAAAUCUCCUUCGACGAGUCGAGUUGUUUGGGAAUGCAGCUCUAAAUGGGAGGUAAAUUUCUUCUAAAGCUAAAUAUUGGCGAGAGACCGAUAGCGCACAAGUAGAGUGAUCGAAAGAUGAAAAGCACUUUGGAAAGAGAGUUAAAAAGCACGUGAAAUUGUUGAAAGGGAAGCGCUUGCAAUCAGACUUGUUUAAACUGUUCGGCCGGUCUUCUGACCGGUUUACUCAGUUUGGACAGGCCAGCAUCAGUUUCGGCGGCCGGAUAAAGGCUCUGGGAAUGUGGCCUCCACUUCGGUGGAGGUGUUAUAGCCCAGGGUGUAAUACGGCCAGCCGGGG
RNAcentral lists this ribosomal RNA (583 nucleotides) under Aureobasidium pullulans. RNAcentral's name for it is "eukaryotic LSU rRNA". It matches the Rfam family "Eukaryotic large subunit ribosomal RNA", at positions 1 to 592 of the family's 3401-position model. The record is from RNAcentral. Lineage: Eukaryota; Fungi; Ascomycota; Dothideomycetes; Dothideales; Saccotheciaceae.